This 387-nucleotide ribosomal RNA is filed under the name uncultured bacterium. RNAcentral's name for it is "bacterial SSU rRNA". It matches the Rfam family "Bacterial small subunit ribosomal RNA", at positions 28 to 417 of the family's 1533-position model. The record is from RNAcentral.
GACGAACGCUGGCGGCGUGCUUAACACAUGCAAGUCGAGCGGUAAGGCCCUUUCGGGGGUACACGAGCGGCGAACGGGUGAGUAACACGUGGGUGACCUGCCCUCAGCUCUGGGAUAAGCCUGGGAAACUGGGUCUAAUACCGGAUAUGACUCCAUGACGCAUGUUGUGGGGUGGAAAGCCUUGUGCGGCUGAGGAUGGGCCCGNGGCCUAUCAGCUUGUUGGUGGGGUGANGGCCUACCAAGGCGACGACGGGUAGCCGGCCUGAGAGGGCGACCGGCCACACUGGACUGAGACACGGCCCAGACUCCUACGGGAGGCAGCAGUGGGGAAUCUUGCGCAAUGGGCGAAAGCCUGACGCAGCGACGCCGCGUGAGGGAUGACGGCCU